Molecule: ribosomal RNA, 253 nt
Filed under: uncultured bacterium
Lineage: Bacteria
Description: partial 16S ribosomal RNA
Rfam family: Bacterial small subunit ribosomal RNA
Source: RNAcentral
UACAGAGGUCCCAAGCGUUGUUCGGAUUCACUGGGCGUAAAGGGUGCGUAGGUGGUUGGGUAAGUCUGAUGUGAAAUCCCGGGGCUCAACCCCGGAACUGCAUUCGAUACUGCUGCGCUAGAGUACUGGAGAGGAGAUUGGAAUUUACGGUGUAGCAGUGAAAUGCGUAGAUAUCGUAAGGAAGACCAGUGGCGAAGGCGGAUCUCUGGACAGUUACUGACACUGAGGCACGAAGGCCAGGGGAGCAAACGGG